ACCUGGCUGGCUCAGGGGUAGAGCACAUGACUCUUGAUCUUGGGGUCUUGAGUUCAACCCCCAUGUCGAGUG
This 72-nucleotide transfer RNA is filed under the name Ailuropoda melanoleuca (giant panda). It matches the Rfam family "tRNA". Rfam says of the family: Transfer RNA (tRNA) molecules are approximately 80 nucleotides in length. Their secondary structure includes four short double-helical elements and three loops (D, anti-codon, and T loops). Further hydrogen bonds mediate the characteristic L-shaped molecular structure. tRNAs have two regions of fundamental functional importance: the anti-codon, which is responsible for specific mRNA codon recognition, and the 3' end, to which the tRNAs corresponding amino acid is attached (by aminoacyl-tRNA synthetases). tRNAs cope with the degeneracy of the genetic code in two manners: having more than one tRNA (with a specific anti-codon) for a particular amino acid; and 'wobble' base-pairing, i.e. permitting non-standard base-pairing at the 3rd anti-codon position. Lineage: Eukaryota; Metazoa; Chordata; Mammalia; Carnivora; Ursidae. The record is from Rfam by way of RNAcentral.